CCGGCCGCCGCACGGAGCUCGCAAAGUUCGGAUCCGCAAGGACCGGGCCAGCGGGACGUCCGCGUGGCAGGGUGCACUUUCUCCGCGGUCGAGUGCUACGACCGGUUUCGCGGCGGUCAGAAGCCCGGCGGAAAGGUAGCGCCGCCCCUCGGGGUGUCGUGUUAUAGGCCGCCGCGGUGGACUCGCCGCGAGACCGAGGACGCUUGCCGCGCCGAGCGGUCCCGGGCCGUCUGGGGAGGUUCGACCUCGGCUGCACUGCUCCGCAGAGCACCGUAACCGCCGCCCUAGCACGGGUCCGGAGACUGCCGGCGCCUCGGGUCAGUAGCG
RNAcentral lists this ribosomal RNA (327 nucleotides) under Corbicula sp. C2b. Its description in RNAcentral is "partial 28S ribosomal RNA". Lineage: Eukaryota; Metazoa; Mollusca; Bivalvia; Venerida; Cyrenidae. The record is from RNAcentral.